GAGUUUGAUCAUGGCUCAGGACGAACGCUGGCGGCGUGCCUAAUACAUGCAAGUCGAACGCAGCUUGCUUUGGUAAGAUGAGUGGCGAACGGGUGAGUAACACGUGGGUAACCUGCCUAUCAGAGGGGGAUAACACUUGGAAACAGGUGCUAAUACCGCAUAGAUUUCUUUCGCAUGAAAAGAGAGGAAAGACGUACGUGUCACUGAUAGAUGGACCCGCGGUGCAUUAGCUAGUUGGUGAGGUAACGGCUCACCAAGGCCAUGAUGCAUAGCCGACCUGAGAGGGUGAUCGGCCACACUGGGACUGAGACACGGCCCAGACUCCUACGGGAGGCAGCAGUAGGGAAUCUUCGGCAAUGGACGAAAGUCUGACCGAGCAACGCCGCGUGAGUGAAGAAGGUUUUCGGAUCGUAAAACUCUGUUGUUAGAGAAGAAUAGGUAGGAGUGACUUCCUGCCAUGACGGUAUCUAACCAGAAAGCCACGGCUAACUACGUGCCAGCAGCCGCGGUAAUACGUAGGUGGCAAGCGUUGUCCGGAUUUAUUGGGCGUAAAGCGAGCGCAGGCGGUUUCUUAAGUCUGAUGUGAAAGCCCCCGGCUUACCCGGGAGGGUCAUUGGAAACUGGGAGACUUG
RNAcentral lists this ribosomal RNA (632 nucleotides) under uncultured Vagococcus sp. RNAcentral's name for it is "bacterial SSU rRNA". It matches the Rfam family "Bacterial small subunit ribosomal RNA", at positions 9 to 644 of the family's 1533-position model. Lineage: Bacteria; Bacillati; Bacillota; Bacilli; Lactobacillales; Enterococcaceae. The record is from RNAcentral.